RNAcentral lists this ribosomal RNA (446 nucleotides) under uncultured bacterium. RNAcentral's name for it is "bacterial SSU rRNA". It matches the Rfam family "Bacterial small subunit ribosomal RNA", at positions 32 to 489 of the family's 1533-position model. The record is from RNAcentral.
AAUCAACGCUGGCGGCGUGCCUCAGACAUGCAAGUCGAACGAUUAAAGCUCUCUUCGGAGAGUGUAUAGAGUGGCGCACGGGUGAGUAACACGUAAGUAAUCUACCUUCGAGUGGGGAAUAACGUCCGGAAACGGACGCUAAUACCGCAUAAUGCAGCGGCAUCGCAAGAUGACAGUUGUUAAAGAUUUAUCGCUUGAAGAGGAGCUUGCGGCAGAUUAGCUAGUUGGUAAGGUAAUGGCUUACCAAGGCUACGAUCUGUAACGGUCUAAGAGGACGGUCGGUCACACUGACACUGAAUAACGGGUCAGACUCCUACGGGAGGCAGCAGUCGGGAAUUUUGGGCAAUGGGCGAAAGCCUGACCCAGCAACGCCGCGUGAAGGAUGAAGUAUUUCGGUAUGUAAACUUCGAAAGAAUGGGAAGAAUCAAUGACGGUACCAUUUAUAA